AUACUUACCUGGUAGGGGAGACACCAUGAUCACGCAGGUGGUUUUCCUGGGGCAUGGCUCAUCCAUUGCACUGCAGAUGUGCUGACCCCUGCGAUCUUCCCAAAUGUGAGAAACUCAACAACAUAAUUUGUGGUAGUGGGGGACUACGUUCACACUCUCCUCUA
Molecule: small nuclear RNA, 164 nt
Organism: Oryctolagus cuniculus (rabbit)
Lineage: Eukaryota; Metazoa; Chordata; Mammalia; Lagomorpha; Leporidae
Gene: U1
Rfam family: U1 spliceosomal RNA
About the family: U1 is a small nuclear RNA (snRNA) component of the spliceosome (involved in pre-mRNA splicing). Its 5' end forms complementary base pairs with the 5' splice junction, thus defining the 5' donor site of an intron. There are significant differences in sequence and secondary structure between metazoan and yeast U1 snRNAs, the latter being much longer (568 nucleotides as compared to 164 nucleotides in human).
Source: Ensembl